GCCCGGUCUCAGCUCCUCGGGAGGCUGAGACAGGAGGAUGGCUCGAGUCCAGGGGUUCUGGGCUGUAGUGCGCUACGCCGAUCGGGUGUCAGCACUAAGUUUGGCAUCAAUUUGGUGACCUCCCGGGAGCGAGGGACCACCAUGUUCCCUAAGGAGGGGUGAACCGGCCCAGGUCAGAAACGGAGCAGGUCAAAACUCCUGUGCUGACAGUUUCUUGAUUAAUGACUGAUGUGAGACAGCACAGUUCACUCUUCAUUAAUUAACCCCCCCA
This 271-nucleotide signal recognition particle RNA is filed under the name Meriones unguiculatus (Mongolian gerbil). Its description in RNAcentral is "Metazoan signal recognition particle RNA (ENSMUGG00000000746.1)". It matches the Rfam family "Metazoan signal recognition particle RNA". From Rfam's summary of the family: The signal recognition particle (SRP) is a universally conserved ribonucleoprotein. Lineage: Eukaryota; Metazoa; Chordata; Mammalia; Rodentia; Muridae. The record is from RNAcentral.